AGAGUUUGAUUAUGGCUCAGGACGAACGCUGGCGGCGUGCUUAACACAUGCAAGUCGAACGAAGCAGCAGUGAAGGAGGCUUCGGCCAAUGGAUCUGUUGACUUAGUGGCGGACGGGUGAGUAACGCGUGAGCAACCUGCCUUUCAGAGGGGGAUAACGUUUGGAAACGAACGCUAAUACCGCAUAACGUAAUUUCGCUGCAUGACGGAAUUACCAAAGGAGCAAUCCGCUGAAAGAUGGGCUCGCGUCCGAUUAGAUAGUUGGUGGGGUAACGGCCUACCAAGUCGACGAUCGGUAGCCGGACUGAGAGGUUGAACGGCCACAUUGGGACUGAGACACGGCCCAGACUCCUACGGGAGGCAGCAGUGGGGAAUAUUGCACAAUGGGCGCAAGCCUGAAUGCAGCAACGCCGCGUGAGGGAAGACGGUUUUCGGAUUGUAAACCUCUGUCCUUGGUGAAGAUAAUGACGGUAGCCGAGGAGGAAGCCACGGCUAACUACGUGCCAGCCGCUGC
This 513-nucleotide ribosomal RNA is filed under the name uncultured bacterium. Its description in RNAcentral is "bacterial SSU rRNA". It matches the Rfam family "Bacterial small subunit ribosomal RNA", at positions 8 to 518 of the family's 1533-position model. The record is from RNAcentral.